Molecule: unclassified non-coding RNA, 712 nt
Filed under: Hevea brasiliensis (rubber tree)
Lineage: Eukaryota; Viridiplantae; Streptophyta; Magnoliopsida; Malpighiales; Euphorbiaceae
Source: RNAcentral
GAGAGAGAGAUGAGUAAGCUACAGCACCAUAGACAAGAAAAGAUGCAAAGAGUUGGUAGCUAAAUCUGAAUAAAACAAGUUUUGGUGAAGGCAAAAUAAAAAAUUAAAAAAAAAGGGCUGAAUCAUCCAACUUAUAUUUUGGGUCAUUUUAGGUUGAACUAAUUUGAGUUUGGCAGCUAGAAUGCAAAGUCAAACUCAUUUAUGCAGAUGGAUUUGGAUUGGGAUACUUCAUUUUCCUUGAAAAAACCCAAGGCUGAUUCAAGUCAAGUUAAUGCAAGUUUCAGUAGAAAGUGCCCAACCUGAAACCAAUGGUCCCACUUUAUUAAUCAGAUCUGGUUUGAGCAAAUAAAAUUCAUAAACAUUCUAUUCAAGGAAAAACUGAUAAUUCCACAUUUAUCAUUGAUUUUCCAAAUGAAAUCCUGAAUUUAAUAUUCAAUUUUCAAGCUGAUAUAAAAAUCAAGGAAUACUGCACGAACAGCAGCCAAUUUUUUUCAAAAAGCAAGCUUUCUCAUCGUUAACUUAGGACUUGAGGCAAGAGUUUUCAUCUGAUGUAUGCCACAACCACAAGCAGAUGUGUUAAUGCAAAUGUGCUUCUUAUCUUUUAUUUAAUUAUUCUUUUUCCGUGUGUAUGCAUAAGCACAUCAAAAGUACAUAUUAUAAAGGUCUUAAUGCAUCUUAGCUGUCAUGAUAAAAGAGAUCCUAUAAUUCCAAU